CCUCGUGGAUCUGCGACGGCGAGAGCAGGUGCACGUGCGAGUCGAUGCCGCCCGCGGUGAGGAUGCGCCCCUCGCCGGAGAUCACAUCGGUCGACGGCCCGAUCACCAGGUCGGGAUGCACGCCGUCGGCGAUGUCCGGGUUGCCGGCGCGGCCGAUCGCGGCGAUGCGCCCGUCGCGGAUGCCGACGUCGGCGCGCACGAUGCCCCACCAGUCCAGCACGAUGACGUUCGUGAUGACGGUGUCCGGGGCGCCGUCGGCGCGGGUCGCCAUGCCCUGG
RNAcentral lists this small RNA (278 nucleotides) under Microbacterium mangrovi. RNAcentral describes it as "5' ureB small RNA". It matches the Rfam family "5' ureB small RNA". The record is from Rfam by way of RNAcentral. Lineage: Bacteria; Bacillati; Actinomycetota; Actinomycetes; Micrococcales; Microbacteriaceae.